CGAACGGGUGAGUAACGCGUGAGGAACCUGCCUCAAAGAGGGGGACAACAGUUGGAAACGACUGCUAAUACCGCAUAAGCCCACGGCUCGGCAUCGAGCAGAGGGAAAAGGAGCGAUCCGCUUUGAGAUGGCCUCGCGUCCGAUUAGCUAGUUGGCGAGGUAACGGCCCACCAAGGCGACGAUCGGUAGCCGGACUGAGAGGUUGAACGGCCACAUUGGGACUGAGACACGGCCCAG
RNAcentral lists this ribosomal RNA (237 nucleotides) under uncultured bacterium. RNAcentral's name for it is "partial 16S ribosomal RNA". It matches the Rfam family "Bacterial small subunit ribosomal RNA", at positions 99 to 334 of the family's 1533-position model. The record is from RNAcentral.